Molecule: ribosomal RNA, 903 nt
Filed under: uncultured archaeon
Lineage: Archaea
Description: bacterial SSU rRNA
Rfam family: Archaeal small subunit ribosomal RNA
Source: RNAcentral
CCCCUUCGGGUCGAUUAGCCUGCGAGUCGUGAGGGGUUAUGCCCUCGGCGGACUGCUCAGUAACACGUGGCUAAUCUGCCCUUGGGACGAGAACAACCCCGGGAAACUGGGGCUAACUCUCGAUAGGUGAAGAACUCUGGAAUGAGUCUUUGCCUAAAUAACUUCACGUUAUCCUCGUGAAGUUGCCCAAGGAUGAGGCCGCGACCGAUCAGGUUGUUGGCGAGGUAAUGGCUCACCAAGCCUUUUACCGGUGCGGGCCGUGGGAGCGGGAGCCCGGAGAUGGGUACUGAGACAAGGACCCAGGCCCUACGGGGCGCAGCAGUCGCGAAAACUUUGCAAUAAGCGCAAGCUUGACAGGGCUAUCCCGAGUGCCAUCCGCUGAGGAAGGCUUUUACCCAGUCUAGAACGCUGGGGGAAUAAGGAGAGGGCAAGUCUGGUGUCAGCCGCCGCGGUAAUACCAGCUCUCCGAGUGGUGUGGAUGUUUAUUGGGCCUAAAGCAUCCGUAGCUGGCUAGGUCAGUCCCUUGUUAAAUCCACCGAAUUAAUCGUUGGAUUGCGGGGGAUACUGCUUGGCUAGGGGACGAGAGAGGCAGACGGUAUUUUCGGGGUAGGGGUGAAAUCCUAUAAUCCCGGGAAGACCACCAGUGGCGAAGGCUGUCUGCUAGAACGCGCCCGACGGUGAGGGAUGAAAGCUGGGGGAGCGAACCGGAUUAGAUACCCGGGUAGUCCCAGCUGUAAACGAUGCAGACUAGGUGUUUGGACGGCCACGUGCCGUUCUAGUGCCGCAGGGAAGCUGUUAAGUCUGCCGCCUGGGGAGUACGAUCGCAAGAUUGAAACUUAAAGGAAUUGGCGGGGGAGCACCACAAGGGGUGAAGCUUGCGGUUUAAUUGGAGUCAACGCCGGG